CUAAGUUCUGGGCAGAAAAGCGUUUCCCGCGGACAGGAGGGACGGGGCACCUGGGGGACGGGAGUUUUUCCUUCUGGCCACCGAGUGGUCGCUCCGAAUUCCCAGACCCUGCGUGGUCUCCGCCUUGUGGGCAGCGGGUCGAACCGUGGCGGUGGCCGGGGGCUGCGGCCCCUCACCCGGGGGACGCCCCGGUCGCUCCUGCGGAGAGACUCAGUCAUCUGUGGGCUCCCGGGAGACGGGGAGUUUCUGCUGAAGGAACUUACAUGGAAAGGCAGGCCGCGUUGGUCUUGCUCGGGCUGAAUCCAGGCCCUUCAGCUCAUGGUCCCUCCUGGAGUUCGGACCCCCCCGGGUUGUCGGGCUGUGAGGCAGGCGCCCUCCCCGCCGACCUUCCCUCCAGCUCCCGUCCAGAGAGAAAGAGUCCCCCGAUCUGGGGGCCACGUGCAGACACCGCCAUGUGGACGCCAGUGCUGGGACACUUGCCGCACCCGUGGCGGCCGCAGAGGCAGGGUGGGGUCUUCCAGGACUGUCAAAGAAAAAAAAUUUCUGCUCCACCUGUCAAGUUUCAUAGCAUUUCCCCAUUGUCGAUUUCUCCUGUCCCAGAGGCUCCCCCUUCUGUUCGGGUGUUACUUGUAGCCUCCUGCUGACCCUUGGGAAUUACAGAGGCUGGAUAUGAUGGUGACGUGCCAAGUGACACACUGUGCCCAGUUUCCUUCCCCGACGUGGACGUGGGAUUCUCCCUGGAGGAGUGGACAUGCCUGGAUGCUGAUCAGAGAAAGCUCUACAGGGACGUGAUGCUGGAGACCUACCAGCACCUGCAGACUGUGGGAUUUCCAGGGUGAAGCCUGAGGUGAUGUCCUGGCUGGAAGGAAGAGCCUGAGCCCAGGAAGAAGAGGCAUGUGUGUAGAGUGAUGCUGAUAAGUUACUUCAAGCUCAGCACUCAGGCAUUACUCCUGGAAGUGCCCAGGGUAUCAUGUGUGAUGCCAAGGGUCAAACUGCAUCCACCACAUGCAGUGGAAAUGCUCUCCCCACUGUGCUAGCAUUCCCACCCGAAUUCCUACUAUCAUUAAGUUUUAAGAAAUACUGU
Long non-coding RNA from Sorex araneus (European shrew), 1084 nucleotides. RefSeq lists it as uncharacterized. Lineage: Eukaryota; Metazoa; Chordata; Mammalia; Eulipotyphla; Soricidae. The record is from RefSeq and is a predicted model, not a curated record. The transcript is spliced from 7 exons.